Long non-coding RNA from Cebus imitator (Panamanian white-faced capuchin), 298 nucleotides. RefSeq lists it as uncharacterized. The record is from RefSeq and is a predicted model, not a curated record. Lineage: Eukaryota; Metazoa; Chordata; Mammalia; Primates; Cebidae. The transcript is spliced from 2 exons.
CCAGGUCUGAGCUGUUUCAAAUCAGCAGAUAUCCCAGGAGAGAAAAUAGCCUGUGAAAGUUAGCUAACCUAGAGAUACAGGGAGUCCAUGGAGCCUCCCCUGCAAGCAUCAGUGCAGAAGUCUGUGAUAACCCAGAUGCAGGCCCAGGACUGUGUUGGACCUGGGGAGGAGUCCGCUGACUCAGAAGACUUGCAUCUAAGGACUUGGCUGUCCUUAUCCUUAAGUAUGAUGACUAUGUUUGCAAUUCCAGUAGACUCCUUUAUGUGUUCUGAAUAAAUAUGCCUUUUGGAAGUGAACU